Molecule: ribosomal RNA, 486 nt
Filed under: uncultured bacterium
Lineage: Bacteria
Description: partial 16S ribosomal RNA
Rfam family: Bacterial small subunit ribosomal RNA
Source: RNAcentral
AUUGAACGCUGGCGGCAUGCCUUACGCAUGCAAGUCGAACGGCAGCACGGGUGCUUGCACCUGGUGGCGAGUGGCGAACGGGUGAGUAAUACAUCGGAACAUGUCCUGUAGUGGGGGAUAGCCCGGCGAAAGCCGGAUUAAUACCGCAUACGAUCUACGGAUGAAAGCGGGGGACCUUCGGGCCUCGCGCUAUAGGGUUGGCCGAUAGCUGAUUAGCUAGUUGGUGGGGUAAAGGCCUACCAAGGCGACGAUCAGUAGCUGGUCUGAGAGGACGACCAGCCACACUGGGACUGAGACACGGCCCAGACUCCUACGGGAGGCAGCAGUGGGGAAUUUUGGACAAUGGGCGAAAGCCUGAUCCAGCAAUGCCGCGUGUGUGAAGAAGGCCUUCGGGUUGUAAAGCACUUUUGUCCGGAAAGAAAUCCUUGGCUCUAAUACAGUCGGGGGAUGACGGUACCGGAAGAAUAAGCACCGGCUAACUACGUG